AGAUUGAACGCUGGCGGCAUGCCUAACACAUGCAAGUCGAACGGGAGUAGCAAUACUCUAGUGGCGGACGGGUGAGGAAUACGUAGGAAUUUGCCCUUAAGUGGGGGAUAACCCGGGAACCCGGAUUAAUACCGCGAUGACCUCGAAAGAGCAAAGUGGGGGAUCGCAAGACCUCACGCUUUUGGAGAAGCCUACGUCGGAUUAGCUAGUUGGUGAGGUAACUGGCUCACCGAAGGCGACGAGUCCGUAACUGGUCUAGGAGAGGAUGAUCAGUCACACCGAACUGAGACACGGGUCCCGGACUCCCGUACGGGACGGCGGCCGAGGGU
RNAcentral lists this ribosomal RNA (329 nucleotides) under uncultured soil bacterium. Its description in RNAcentral is "bacterial SSU rRNA". It matches the Rfam family "Bacterial small subunit ribosomal RNA", at positions 26 to 359 of the family's 1533-position model. The record is from RNAcentral.